RNAcentral lists this transfer RNA (87 nucleotides) under Gammaproteobacteria bacterium. RNAcentral describes it as "tRNA-Ser". It matches the Rfam family "tRNA". From Rfam's summary of the family: Transfer RNA (tRNA) molecules are approximately 80 nucleotides in length. Their secondary structure includes four short double-helical elements and three loops (D, anti-codon, and T loops). RNAcentral also lists the same sequence under 1 other name. Lineage: Bacteria; Pseudomonadati; Pseudomonadota; Gammaproteobacteria. The record is from RNAcentral.
GGAAUCUUGGCCGAGUGGUUUAAGGCAGCGGUUUACUAAACCGCCGAGGGUUAAAAUCCUCCGGGGGUUCGAAUCCCUCAGAUUCCG